Molecule: ribosomal RNA, 255 nt
Filed under: uncultured bacterium
Lineage: Bacteria
Description: partial small subunit ribosomal RNA
Rfam family: Bacterial small subunit ribosomal RNA
Source: RNAcentral
AGGACGAACGCUUGCGGCGUGCCUAAGAAAUGCAAGUCGAGCGGGGGAGCAAUCCCUAGCGGCGAACGGUCGCGUAACACGUAAGCAACCUGCCCGAAAGACCGGGACAACAGCUCGAAAGGGCUGCUAAUACCGGAUGUGUCCGCUUUGCCUCAUGGCUUAGCGAGUAAAUCAUUUAUGGCUUUCGGAGGGGCUUGCGGCCUAUCAGCUAGAUGGCGGUGUAACGGACCACCAUGGCGACGACGGGUAGCUGGU